AAAAAAAUCUGUCAUUUUACUGACUCUUCUCUCAUUUUAUAACUGAUAUAUAUCCAUGGAAGGAAUAUACCUAAAACUUUAACUUAAACUGCAUUAAUGUUGUAUCUAUUGUAUUAGUAUAAAGAGGGAGGGGUAGAAGGGGUCCUCAUCCCGAAAUCCCUGGCUUAAAAACACAAAAUCCUGAAGUCCCAACUUUAAAUGAAUUUAAAUCCCGUCAUCGCGAAAUUAGAAAAAAAGAUUAUCUUAUCCCGAAAGGGUCAAUCCUGCAAUCCCGAGCUUAAUCACACCCUUAACCCAAACUAGACCCAAAGUCUCGUUGAAGGUCCUAUCUCCUCGGUAUUUCCCCCCAUCAGGGACGGGUUUUUUUAAAAUACAAGUAUUGUAAGUUCAAAGGAGUAGGUCCGGUAAGACCCCUUUUUGGCCCCAAAAUAUAGCAGUUUUACAAAAUUGUUAAACAGUAAACUUUUAGUUAUUUAUUGGACAAUCGAAUGCUUCUGCUACAUAAAUAUGGGCUGUUUUUGACAAUACAGUUAAGUCAUGC
This 541-nucleotide long non-coding RNA is filed under the name Mytilus galloprovincialis (Mediterranean mussel). The record is from RNAcentral. Lineage: Eukaryota; Metazoa; Mollusca; Bivalvia; Mytilida; Mytilidae.